ACACUUGGCGCUAUUCACACACUCUGCCUACUGCACAUGCGCAAUCUCAUAAAUAAUUCCGACUUUAAUAAACUUAAUUAAGAUCUAUCAUCAAAUUAUUCGAAUUUUUGGAGGCCGGGGUGGAGUGCAUGAGCCGCGGUCAGACAGUCACCAAUCACCGGGCGGCUAAAUGGAUCGACGGAGGAUAAAACCAUUAAAAGAUGCGGAGAAACACAUCACCAGCUCCACUGACAAGACCCAUUCACUGGAAACCGAAUAUAUAGAAGGUUACUAAGUUUUGCAGCAUUGAUGCCGAUCAUGAGGACGAGACCCUCGGCCGGCUGGUGAAUGAUGACCAUCUGCACCCUAACUGCACUGUCAAUAAGAUCGUUGUUCAGAGAAAACCUCAUUUGUGCCAUUUUGCAAUCAGGGAUAUUUUCUUUGGAGAGGAAAUAACAUUUGACUAUGGCGCAUGUGAUUGGCCUUGGAGAAAGCUUUCAUUGAAGGAUGCCCAUAUGACUGCAGAAGAGAACUGCUCCGACAACUCUCUGAUGAGCUUUCAUUGAAGUAUGAUCAUAUGACGAGAAGAAGAGAACUGCUCUGCUCCAGUAGGAGACCCACAACCCUCUGAUGAGCUUAUAUUGAAAGUUGACCAUAUGACAGAGGAAGAGAACUGCUCUGCUCCAGUACGAGACUCACAACUCUGAUGAGGUUUGCUGAAGUAUGACCAUAUGACAGAAGGAGAGAACAGCUCUGCUCCAGUACGAGACCCACAACUCUCUGAUGAGCUUAUAUUGAAGGAUGACCAUAUGACAGAGGAAGAGAACUGCUCUGCUCCAGCACGUGACUCACAACUCUGAUGAGCUUUGAUUGAAGGAUGACCAUAUGACAGAGGAAGAGAACUGCUCUGCUCCAGUACGUGACCCACAACUCUC
Non-coding RNA from Danio rerio (zebrafish), 914 nucleotides. The record is from Ensembl. NCBI's taxonomy places the organism in Eukaryota, Metazoa, Chordata, Actinopteri, Cypriniformes, Danionidae.